This 368-nucleotide ribosomal RNA is filed under the name uncultured organism. RNAcentral's name for it is "bacterial SSU rRNA". It matches the Rfam family "Bacterial small subunit ribosomal RNA", at positions 526 to 896 of the family's 1533-position model. The record is from RNAcentral.
CGUAGGUGGCAAGCGUUGUCCGGAUUUAUUGGGUUUAAAGGGUGCGUAGGCGGUCUUGUAAGUCAGUGGUGAAAUACGGCAGCUUAACUGUCGAGGUGCCAUUGAUACUGCAGGACUUGAGUACAGACGAGGUAGGCGGAAUUGACGGUGUAGCGGUGAAAUGCUUAGAUAUCGUCAAGAACACCGAUAGCGAAGGCAGCUUACUAGACUGUAACUGACGCUGAUGCACGAAAGUGUGGGGAUCAAACAGGAUUAGAUACCCUGGUAGUCCACACUGUAAACGAUGAUUACUCGAUGUUCGCGAUACACAGCCAGCGUCUUAGCGAAAGCGAUAAGUAAUCCACCUGGGGAGUACGCCGGCAACGGUG